RNAcentral lists this ribosomal RNA (500 nucleotides) under Yarrowia deformans. RNAcentral's name for it is "partial 26S rRNA". It matches the Rfam family "Eukaryotic large subunit ribosomal RNA", at positions 62 to 648 of the family's 3401-position model. The record is from RNAcentral. Lineage: Eukaryota; Fungi; Ascomycota; Dipodascomycetes; Dipodascales.
AAACCAACAGGGAUUGCCUCAGUAACGGCGAGUGAAGCGGCAAAAGCUCAAAUUUGAAACCCUCGGGAUUGUAAUUUGAAGAUUUGGCAUUGGAGAAAGCUAACCCAAGUUACUUGGAAUAGUACGUCAUAGAGGGUGACAACCCCGUCUGGCUAACCGUUCUCCAUGUAUUGCCUUAUCAAAGAGUCGAGUUGUUUGGGAAUGCAGCUCAAAGUGGGUGGUAAACUCCAUCUAAAGCUAAAUACUGGUGAGAGACCGAUAGCGAACAAGUACUGUGAAGGAAAGGUGAAAAGAACUUUGAAAAGAGAGUGAAAUAGUAUGUGAAAUUGUUGAUAGGGAAGGAAAUGAGUGGAGAGUGGUUUAGGUUUCAGCCUUCUUUCGAGGGGGUGCACUACCAACGCCGAGUCAUUGAUAGCGAGACAGGGGUUAUAAACGGACGGCACUUGUGCUAUUCUCCUAACCCCUCUACUGCCACCAACGACAUAAUCCACCCAUUUCAC